AGUUUGAUCAUGGCUCAGGACGAACGCUGGCGGCGUGCCUAACACAUGCAAGUCGAGCGGAGGUAUAUACGAAGAAGUUUUCGGACGGAAUUGUAUAUACUUUAGCGGCGGACGGGUGAGUAACGCGUGAGCAACCUGCCUUUCACAGGGGGAUAAGGCGGCGAAAGCCGCUCUAAUACCGCAUGAGACCACAGUGGUGAUGCUACAGGGGUCAAAGGAGCAAUCCGGUGAAAGAUGGGCUCGCGUCCGAUUAGGUAGUUGGUGGGGUAAUGGCCCACCAAGCCCGUGAUCGGUAGCCGGCCUGAGAGGGUGAACGGCCACAUUGGAACUGAGACACGGUCCAAACUCCUACGGGAGGCAGCAGUGGGGAAUAUUGGGCAAUGGGGGGAACCCUGACCCAGCAACGCCGCGUGAGGGAAGAAGGUUUUCGGAUUGUAAACCUCUGUUCUUGGGGAAGAGUGAAAGACGGUACCCAAGGAGGAAGCCCCGGCUAACUACGUGCCAGCAGCCGCGGUAAUACGUAGGGGGCGAGCGUUGUCCGGAAUGAUUGGGCGUAAAGGGCGCGUAGGCGGCUUUGCAAGUCAGUAGUGGAAGUCCAUUUUUCAAGGAUGGAAGUGCUACAGAAACUGCGGAGCUUGAGUGCAGGAGAGGUUAUCGGAAUUCCCGGUGUAGCGGUGAAAUGCGUAGAGAUCGGGAGGAACACCAGUGGCGAAGGCGGGUAACUGGACUGCAACUGACGCUGAGGCGCGAAAGUGUGGGGAGCAAACAGGAUUAGAUACCCU
RNAcentral lists this ribosomal RNA (782 nucleotides) under uncultured bacterium. RNAcentral's name for it is "bacterial SSU rRNA". It matches the Rfam family "Bacterial small subunit ribosomal RNA", at positions 10 to 788 of the family's 1533-position model. The record is from RNAcentral.